This 253-nucleotide ribosomal RNA is filed under the name uncultured bacterium. Its description in RNAcentral is "partial 16S ribosomal RNA". It matches the Rfam family "Bacterial small subunit ribosomal RNA", at positions 524 to 776 of the family's 1533-position model. The record is from RNAcentral.
UACAGAGGGUGCGAGCGUUAAUCGGAAUUACUGGGCGUAAAGCGUGCGUAGGUGGUCUUUUAAGUCCGUUGUGAAAGCCCUGGGCUCAACCUGGGAAUGGCAGUGGAUACUGGAAGGCUGGAGUACGGUAGAGGAGGGUGGAAUUCCCGGUGUAGAGGUGAAAUUCGUAGAUAUCGAGAGGAACACCGGUGGCGAAGGCGGCCAACUGGACGAAUACUGACGCUGAGACUCGAAAGCGUGGGGAGCAAACAGG